UACAGCCAUAUCAUGCUGAAGCACUGGUUCUUGUCCGAUCACUAAAGUUAAGCAACAUUGAACCUGGUCAGUACUUAGAUGAGUGACUACCUGAAAAUAUCAGAUGUUGUAAG
Molecule: non-coding RNA, 113 nt
Organism: Acanthosepion pharaonis
Lineage: Eukaryota; Metazoa; Mollusca; Cephalopoda; Sepiida; Sepiidae
Source: the annotation of a GenBank genome assembly